GAAAUGCGAUAACUAGUGUGAAUUGCAGAAUUCCGUGAAUCAUCGAGUCUUUGAACGCACAUUGCGCCCCCUGGUAUUCCGGGGGGCAUGCCUGUCCGAGCGUCAUUGCUGCCCAUCAAGCACGGCUUGUGUGUUGGGUCGUCGUCCCCUCUCCGGGGGGGACGGGCCCCAAAGGCAGCGGCGGCACCGCGUCCGAUCCUCGAGCGUAUGGGGCUUUGUCACCCGCUCUGUAGGCCCGGCCGGCGCUCGCCGAACGCAAAUCAAUCUUUUUCCAGGUUGACCUCGGAUCAGGUAGGGAUACCCGCUGAACUUAAGC
This 316-nucleotide unclassified non-coding RNA is filed under the name plant metagenome. RNAcentral describes it as "partial contains 5.8S ribosomal RNA, internal transcribed spacer 2, and large subunit ribosomal RNA". The stretch from base 1 to 105 matches the Rfam family "5.8S ribosomal RNA", at positions 50 to 154 of the family's 154-position model. The record is from RNAcentral.